UACGAAGGGGGCUAACGUUGUUCGGAAUUACUGGGCGUAAAGCGCACGUAGGCGGACUACUAAGUCAGGGGUGAAAUCCCGGGGCUCAACCCCGGAACUGCCUUUGAUACUGAUAGUCUCGAGUCCGGAAGAGGUGAGUGGAAUUCCGAGUGUAGAGGUGAAAUUCGUAGAUAUUCGGAGGAACACCAGUGGCGAAGGCGGCUCACUGGUCCGGUACUGACGCUGAGGUGCGAAAGCGUGGGGAGCAAACAGG
RNAcentral lists this ribosomal RNA (253 nucleotides) under uncultured bacterium. Its description in RNAcentral is "partial 16S ribosomal RNA". It matches the Rfam family "Bacterial small subunit ribosomal RNA", at positions 524 to 776 of the family's 1533-position model. The record is from RNAcentral.